GAUUAACGCUAGCGGCAGGCAUAAUACAUGCAAGUUGAACGAGAUUAGUUUUAGCAAUAGAACUAGUUUAGUGGCGCACGGGUGCGUAACGCGUAUGCAACCUACCUUAAACAGGGGAAUAGCCUCUCGAAAGAGAGAUUAAUACCGCAUAAUAUAUAUUUAAUGCAUAUUAGAUAUAUUAAACCUACGGGGGUUUAAGAUGGGCAUGCGUGACAUUAGCCAGUUGGUGAGGUAACGGCUCACCAAGGCAACGAUGUCUAGGGGGUCUGAGAGGAUGUCCCCCCACACUGGUACUGAGACACGGACCAGACUCCUACGGGAGGCAGCAGUAGGGAAUAUUGGUCAAUGGGGCAACCCUGAACCAGCCAUGCCGCGUGCAGGAAUAAGGCCCUAUGGGUCGUAAACUGCUUUUGAACGGGAAGAAAUCUAUUUACGUGUAAAUAGUUGACGGUACCGUUAGAAUAAGGAUCGGCUAACUUCGUGCCAGCAGCCGCGGUAAAU
RNAcentral lists this ribosomal RNA (501 nucleotides) under uncultured bacterium. Its description in RNAcentral is "bacterial SSU rRNA". It matches the Rfam family "Bacterial small subunit ribosomal RNA", at positions 28 to 525 of the family's 1533-position model. The record is from RNAcentral.